RNAcentral lists this ribosomal RNA (474 nucleotides) under uncultured bacterium. RNAcentral's name for it is "SSU rRNA". It matches the Rfam family "Bacterial small subunit ribosomal RNA", at positions 26 to 518 of the family's 1533-position model. The record is from RNAcentral.
AGGACGAACGCUGGCGGCGUGCUUAACACAUGCAAGUCGAGCGGAAAGGCCCUUCGGGGUACUCGAGCGGCGAACGGGUGAGUAACACGUGAGCAACCUGCCCUUAGCUCCGGGAUAGCUCCGGGAAACCGGAAUUAAUACCGGAUACGACCACGGCCGACAUCUGCUGUGGUGGAAAGGAUUCCGGCUAAGGAUGGGCUCGCGGCCUAUCAGCUAGUUGGUGGAGUAACGGCCCACCAAGGCGACGACGGGUAGCCGGCCUGAGAGGGCGACCGGCCACACUGGGACUGAGACACGGCCCAGACUCCUACGGGAGGCAGCAGUUGGGAAUAUUGCGCAAUGGGCGAAAGCCUGACGCAGCGACGCCGCGUGGGGGAUGAAGGCCUUCGGGUUGUAAACCCCUUUCAGCAGGGACGAAGCGAAAGUGACGGUACCUGCAGAAGAAGCGCCGGCUAACUACGCGCCAGCAGCCGC